RNAcentral lists this ribosomal RNA (250 nucleotides) under uncultured bacterium. Its description in RNAcentral is "partial 16S ribosomal RNA". It matches the Rfam family "Bacterial small subunit ribosomal RNA", at positions 524 to 773 of the family's 1533-position model. The record is from RNAcentral.
UACGGAGGGUGCAAACGUUGCUCGGAAUUAUUGGGCGUAAAGCGCACGUAGGCGGUUCGUUAUGUCGGAUGUGAAAGCCCUCGGCUUAACCGAGGAAGUGCAUCCGAAACUGGCGAGCUUGAGUACGGAAGAGGGUCUCGGAAUUCCCGGUGUAGAGGUGAAAUUCGUAGAUAUCGGGAGGAACACCAGUGGCGAAGGCGGAGACCUGGGCCGAUACUGACGCUGAGGUGCGAAAGCGUGGGGAGCAAAC